RNAcentral lists this microRNA precursor (61 nucleotides) under Triops cancriformis. RNAcentral describes it as "microRNA tcf-mir-263b precursor". Its record names the gene tcf-mir-263b. Lineage: Eukaryota; Metazoa; Arthropoda; Branchiopoda; Notostraca; Triopsidae. The record is from miRBase by way of RNAcentral.
CUUGGCACUGGAAGAAUUCACAGAGUAUUUGAAACCAUCGUGGAUUCCCUGGUGCCAUAGA